CUUUAGAUAGGUGUUUUUUUUUCCUCAAAAAGCAUUUUAUCAAAAAAGUCCGAUUUAAAUAAAAAAUCUGAUUUUUUUUUUAAAUCGUUGAUUUUUAUCCAUCCUGAUUAUACAGAAAACAGCAGAAGGUCAUUUUGUUGCUCUGCUCUUCUGAACAUAAUAUACUAGGUGAAGUCUCAUCAGAGCCAGUAUGGAGAGAAAAUGCUACCUCCUUGCUCUGUGGAAUGAUCCUUUUUGUGUAGGCAAACUGUACUGGAUUUUUUUACAGCCAAAUUGUACUUGCCUGUUCAAGUCUAACUUUCGAUCCAUUAUCAUUCUUAGGUCUUCAGCAUUACUGGUCUCCGAGUUUCCAGUCCCUGUAUGUUUGUGCAUUGAAUUGAAUUAAGAUCUGUUAGCUAGUAUUUUUCCAAUUGAAUUAUUUUUCUAUCAAUGUUUCUUAUUUGUCUAGAUUCUUUUGAAUUCUUUCUUUUCACUUUCUGGUGUUUGGAAUUCCUCAGUUUACUAUGUGUGAAUUUCUACUUACUGUUUGUGGUCCUGUUAUUCUGUAGUUAUUUCAUGAAUUUGUGCCCAUUUGUUCCAUUGCUAGAAAUAGAAAUUCAAUAUAUGGAUUUCGAGGAUCACUUUUUUCCUUUUUAUUUUUUGAAAACUUCAUUUGUUUUUUCCCAAUCUUUUGAAACUUCCCAGUUAUCUGAAUUUCAUUUCAGAAAAUAAUGGUAAAUCAUACAUAGAGUAAGUUCAUUAACUAAUUCUGUUAAUACUGUAGGGUCCAUAUUUUCCAGAGUAGCUAAUUUGUAUAUGGUCAAAUGUUCCAAGUGUUCCUUAUCUCUUUAUCAGUAACAGGGUUUUCUUUCCUAUUUAAUCAGUUUUCUAUAUUUUCUUUAUUGAUCAUUAUUUUUAGAGGUAAUAUUAGCCAUGUGUGUCAAUUUCAUCUCCAUCAUUUAUUAAAUGACCAACUUUCUCACUAUUACUUAUUUUCCUGAGAGAGCUUAGAUUUGUAAAAUUUCACCCUUAUCUGGCUAACAUUAACUCAUCCUGCCUCCCUCCCCCUGCCUUAUCUUGCUGGAAAAUAUGAAGCUACAAGCUACCGUGAUUCUUUCAUUAGGUAUUAAAGGACUGAUACUCAUGGCCUGAAGCCAUGACUUUUGGUCAUAGUGGUCUCUCUAAUUGGUCUCUCUCCCACAUCCCUAGUCUAUGAAAUAGUUGGUUCAAUUUCAGGAGUUCCAUAUAAGUAUUGCAGAAGUUUAAAAAAUGUUUUACCAGUAAAGCUGCAUCUCCAAGAUGUGGAUCUGGAAUUAUCCCCUCUUCCUUUUCUUACUUACCACCACCUCUUUUUUUUCCCCCCCAACAUUACAAACAAUAUGUAUUUGUUUGUUGCACACCAACUAUUUAAUCAUUCUUAAUUUAAACUCCAUGUUCCCAAUGUAGUGAGAGUUAUCAGUAACUGAUUUGCUUAGUCUUUAAGGAUUUUUAACAUUCCUGUGUAUUUGAAUGUUGUGGAAGCUUCAUAUGGGGAGUCAGAAAGAGGGGAAAUCUUCUGACACCAAAACACCGUUUGGGACUUUUGCUUGUCAUUCUUGUGCUUGCAGUGAAUGAUUAGUUUGUAGAACUUUCUGUCACACUGUCUGGAGUGGCUCACAACUGCGAGUGCCUAUCUCGGGACAGACUGCCAGAAAACAGGGCGGAUUUCCCAAGCUGGUGGUGUGUUCUAUAAUUAGAUUUCACUAUGCCAGUAACAAAUGUAAACUCCUGGAUCACUAUACCAGUCUUAGAUUGGAAAGUCUAAGGGGACAGUCUGUGACUUCAUGGUAUUUUGCCACCCAGACAAACUGAACUUUGUGUUAAAAGAUUAUUAAAACCAAAAAUCAUACCACAUCCCAAGACACUAGCCACUUACCCCAGAUCAAUUGGCACUCCAGAUCUUACACCAAAGACAACACUGGCAGCCAAUUCUAUAGGAAACUAACUAUAAGUUUAUUAGCUAAGAAUAGGAAAUGAGUUAUUGAGAGGUUAAAGCAGGUAAAAUAUAUUAACAGAUGAGUCACAGUUUGCAAUUCCAUAAGAUAUUAAUGAUGUAAUAAACUGCCAGUUUCCCAGAAGUCUUUCAGGGUACCCAGAUAGUCUCUGGGGAUCUCUGCUUUGCAUCUGAAACACUUCCCUGGAACAGUCCAGUCAGAGAUCUUUCUUUGAAUCCAUAUUUAUAGUUUCUUCAUAUAGAAAGCAAGCUGACAGAGUCUCUACCCACGUGGGCUUUUCCUUUGAUGACGGAGCAACCAUGUGUCUUGAAAGAGGAUGAAAGAGCUGCCAGAGUCAUCCCAGAGAAUGAAAAGGAGUACCCAUGGCACCUUAGAGACUAACAAAUUUAUUAGAGCAUAAGCUUUCGUGAGCUACAGCUCACUUCAAAUACAUCUGAUGAAGUGAGCUGUAGCUCACGAAAGCUUAUGCUCUAAUAAAUUUGUUAGUCUCUAAGGUGCCACGGGUACUCCUUUUCUUUUUGCGAAUACAGACUAACACGGCUGCUACUCUGAAAUCUGAUCCCAGAGAAUAUCAUCCUGGAUAAGCACCUGGAUCCGGGCCUGCUAUGAGCAGGCAAAGGUCCCACCUACAGCCAUCGUGAGAGCCCACUCUAGAAGAGCCCAGGCUUCAUCGGCAGCAUUCCUCAUGCAGAUACCAAUCCAGGACAUCUGCAGGACUGUGACAUGGUUGUCAAUUCAUGCCUUCAUGUCUCACUAUGCCAUCACCCAACAGGCCCAUAAUGAUCCCAGUUUCAGUAGAACAGUGUUGCAAUCAGCACGUCUGUGAAAGUUGAACCCGCCUCUGGGUAUAUUGCUUCCGAGUCACCUAGCAUGGAAUAGACGUGAGCAAGCACUCUAAGAAGAUAAAACAGUUACUAACCUUUUGUAACUGUUGUUCUUCAAGAUAUGCUGUUCAUAUCCAUUCCAGGACUCACCCUCCUACUCCUCUGUCGGAGUUACCAGCAAGAAAGAACUGAGAGGGUGUGAGGCUGAGGGUGCCCCUUAUACCAGCACAUAGUGCAGGGCUCCAAGGGGCGCUCUGGCCGGCCCUAUGGAUACCUCUAAGGGAAAAAAAAGUCUCUGGCAACUGUGCUCGUGGUGCACGCACACAUGGAAUGGAUGCGAGCAACAGAUCUCGAAGAACAACAGUUAUGAAAGGUUAGUAGCCAUUUUCUUUGCUAUACAGUUCAGUGGAGCCAUGAUUUCAACACCAGUAUGUGCACUGGUUAGUCAGUUUUUAAAGUAAGUAAGAAAGAGCACAUGGGGUCUUAAAAAGAAAAGGGUUGUAAUCCAUCUUACAUAAUUUAUUUGUAACAGUAAGUAUCCCUUCCAUGUAUGUAUUUAUGAAUUACAUUACAUUCUUUGUGUGCCACAAUGAUUAAUACAUUAAAAACUUGCUUAAAUGUCAACCGGUACAAGCCAUCUCAUCAGUAGUUUCCAUUAGUGUUCUGUCAGGCAGAGGAAGACUAAUGAAACUGAAGAAAUGUUAUGCUUCAGUGCCCAUGCUUUCAUGCCCAACAUGGGUAAAGCACAUUUUCAUAAAGGUAGAUAAGUACAGUCUUAAGAAACAGCAAAUACAAUGCUAAAUUGGGGAAUGAGUGAUAGUAACAAUGUAACUGAAAUUGAGAAAUACAGUAUAAUUUACACUGCAUGGUUUGCUUCAUUGGCAAGUAUAACUGCAUUCUUAAUUCUUUUUUCAAUGAACACAGAGUAGAAUUGUGCUAAAUGAUAUAUUUUUGCUUCCUUUCAAUGCACCAACUCAUCGGGUUAUUGUGGUAAGAUGUUUUCCAUGGUUAUACUUUGGGAUUCUAUGCACUAAAUGUAGUACUACAUAACAGAUUUCAAAUACAGCUGUAUAGCAGUGUUAUAAGUUUUAUUAUGUGUUUUCAACACAGUUUAAUACAUACAAAUGAAAAUGGAACUUCAAUGUAAGUCUUGAAAUUCUGAGGACUGAGGUUUAAAAAAUAAAAUGCUUGUGUGAAGUGU
Molecule: long non-coding RNA, 3998 nt
Organism: Dermochelys coriacea (leatherback sea turtle)
Lineage: Eukaryota; Metazoa; Chordata; Testudines; Dermochelyidae
Exons: 2
Source: RefSeq, a predicted model, not a curated record